RNAcentral lists this ribosomal RNA (495 nucleotides) under Penicillium crustosum. RNAcentral's name for it is "eukaryotic LSU rRNA". The stretch from base 123 to 275 matches the Rfam family "5.8S ribosomal RNA". Lineage: Eukaryota; Fungi; Ascomycota; Eurotiomycetes; Eurotiales; Aspergillaceae. The record is from RNAcentral.
GCUUCGGCGGGCCCGCCUUAACUGGCCGCCGGGGGGCUUACGCCCCCGGGCCCGCGCCCGCCCAAGACACCCUCGAACUCUGUCUGAAGAUUGUAGUCUGAGUGAAAAUAUAAAUUAUUUAAAACUUUCAACAACGGAUCUCUUGGUUCCGGCAUCGAUGAAGAACGCAGCGAAAUGCGAUACGUAAUGUGAAUUGCAAAUUCAGUGAAUCAUCGAGUCUUUGAACGCACAUUGCGCCCCCUGGUAUUCCGGGGGGCAUGCCUGUCCGAGCAUCAUUGCUGCCCUCAAGCACGGCUUGUGUGUUGGGCCCCGUCCUCCGAUCCCGGGGGACGGGCCCGAAAGGCAGCGGCGGCACCGCGUCCGGUCCUCGAGCGUAUGGGGCUUUGUCACCCGCUCUGUAGGCCCGGCCGGCGCUUGCCGAUCAACCCAAAAUUUUAUCCAGGUUGACCUCGGAUCAGGUAGGGAUACCCGCUGAACUUAAGCAUAUCAAUAAGC